This 501-nucleotide ribosomal RNA is filed under the name uncultured Glomeromycotina. RNAcentral describes it as "partial small subunit ribosomal RNA". It matches the Rfam family "Eukaryotic small subunit ribosomal RNA", at positions 591 to 1092 of the family's 1831-position model. Lineage: Eukaryota; Fungi; Glomeromycota. The record is from RNAcentral.
CCAAUAGCGUAUAUUAAAGUUGUUGCAGUUAAAAAGCUCGUAGUUGAACUUCGGGGUUCGCUCAUUGGUCAAGCUUAAUUGUUUGUACUGGUGAGAUGGAUCUCUACCUUCUGAGGAACUUUCAUGCCAUUUAUUUGGUGUGGGAGGAAAUCAGGACUGUUACUUUGAAAAAAUUAGAGUGUUUAAAGCAGGCUAACGUCUGAAUACAUUAGCAUGGAAUAAUGAAAUAGGACGGACUGAUUCUAUUUCGUUGGUUUCUAGGAUCACCGUAAUGAUUAAUAGGGAUAGUUGGGGGCAUUAGUAUUCAAUUGUCAGAGGUGAAAUUCUUGGAUUUAUUGAAGACUAACUACUGCGAAAGCAUUUGCCAAGGAUGUUUUCAUUAAUCAAGAACGAAAGUUAGGGGAUCGAAGACGAUCAGAUACCGUCGUAGUCUUAACCAUAAACUAUGCCGACUAGGGAUCGGACGAAGUUAAUUUAUAAUGACGCGUUCGGCACCUUACG